This 519-nucleotide ribosomal RNA is filed under the name uncultured Glomus. RNAcentral describes it as "SSU rRNA". It matches the Rfam family "Eukaryotic small subunit ribosomal RNA", at positions 569 to 1091 of the family's 1831-position model. Lineage: Eukaryota; Fungi; Glomeromycota; Glomeromycetes; Glomerales; Glomeraceae. The record is from RNAcentral.
AGCAGCCGCGGUAAUUCCAGCUCCAAUAGCGUAUAUUAAAGUUGUUGCAGUUAAAAAGCUCGUAGUUGAAUUUCGGGAUCAAUACGUCGGUCGUGCUUCGGUACGUACUGGCGUAAUUGAUUUCUCCCUUCUGACGAACCAUGAUGUCAUUAACUUGGUGUCAUGGGAAAUCAGGACUGUUACUUUGAAAAAAUUAGAGUGUUUAAAGCAAGCUAACGCUUGAAUACAUUAGCAUGGAAUAAUGAAAUAGGACGUUCGAUCCUAUUUUGUUGGUUUCUAGGAUUGACGUAAUGAUUAAUAGGGAUAGUUGGGGGCAUUAGUAUUCAAUUGUCAGAGGUGAAAUUCUUGGAUUUAUUGAAGACUAACUACUGCGAAAGCAUUUGCCAAGGAUGUUUUCAUUAAUCAAGAACGAAAGUUAGGGGAUCGAAGACGAUCAGAUACCGUCGUAGUCUUAACCAUAAACUAUGCCGACUAGGGAUCGGAUGAUGUUAAUUUUUAAUGACUCAUUCGGCGCCUUAC